This 1490-nucleotide long non-coding RNA is filed under the name Homo sapiens (human). RNAcentral describes it as "HSALNT0336541". Lineage: Eukaryota; Metazoa; Chordata; Mammalia; Primates; Hominidae. The record is from RNAcentral.
CUAUAUACAAGUUGCAGUGGCAUAAAAAAACAAACAACUAGUCCUAACUGGAGAGGUAACAGUUGCUUGUUCACUGGGUUGGCCAAACUGCAAAAUGAACAAAAGUGGAGUCAGAAAGCAAAACAGUAUGAUAGAAUUUGAGAAACCUCAAGAAAAUCAGUAUCUAGCUCUAAAAUGGUAGAGUACAAACUGUGACAAAGGAGAGUACCAAGAAAUAAGGCUAUAGAGGUAGGUAGUAGCUACCUAUCUUGACCACAGAGCAGUGUAGGCAUUAGGAAACCAGGUUCAUAGUUUAGACAGAUCUGUCUGGCAACAAUGUAAAAUGGAUUAGGGGGAGGGGAUGAGAAAGAUGGUUGUCAGAGAGACCAGUAUAGGUGACGGGUUAUGAAAACUUAAAUUAAGGCAAUAGUGCAAUGGAGAUAGAAGGGCAGGAAUGUUAGAUGUAGUAAGCAGAUGACAGAACUGAUAGCACUCAAUCAUCAUCAACUUGAGUGAUGGGCAGGGAUUGGGCACAGGCGCCAGAUGAAGGAAAAAGCAGAGUGGAGAAUAAAUUCUGGGUUCAAGUGACAGGUGAAUGGUGGUGUUACUCACUGAGAAGAGGAACCGGUUCAGGGAGGGAAGGAAAGUGUGUUCUGGUUUUGAAUGUGUAGAGUCUGUGAUGCAUUUGAAAUAGCCAGUUCUAAUAUACAUGGGAAUAUAAUCUGGAGCCCAGAGGAGAUAAAUGUCUGGGUAAAGGAGAUAAAUGUCUAGGUGAAAGGUAUGGCAGUAACAGAAAAAACAGGAGUGGAUAAGAUCACUCAGAUAAAGUACUGAAUAAAAAGAAACAAACACAAAACCAGUAACAAAAGGCUUCUGGGGAUACCAAUAAUUAAGUGGCAGAGAAGUCCACAGAAGACAGAGACUGAGCAGUCAUAAAGGCAGAAGCAGAACCUAGAGAAUGAUGUCAUGGAAACCAAGGUAGUGCACAGUUUUCAGAAGGACAGGGUGAGUAAAUGGAGCCAUGAAGUGACUGGUUUUUCACAAAUCAACUGGCUGGUAAAACUUUCACAAUGCCAAAUAUAAGGUUUGGGGGUACACGUACUUACAACUGUAUUAAUUGAGACCCACGAGGCAAGAGAAGCACCUAGAAGAACAGAAUUACAAGGAAGAGAAUGGGGUUAGAAAUUUGUAGAAGACCGAGAAAGGUCUAAUGUAUAACAAUUUUUAAAACUUCAUGUGGAAAAAUUAUUCAUUUCACCAGUGACAUUAGGAUCUACUUAUGACCUCUGAUGAGGCCCAAAGAUCUUUAGUGACUUAACAAGUCACAAAAUCAGAAGUGGAAUUUGAAUCUAGAUCAUCUGACUGAAAAUCAACUUUCUUUCAGUUCUUUGUUAUGACUCAUUAUCAGGUUCUUAUUUUAGUAACCAGCUGUGCUUGGUCCCCAUCAACCAAGCCUGCUCUUGCCUUAGCAAAUGACCCUGUACAUUACAGAGGUAAACAUGAUAAACCAA